RNAcentral lists this ribosomal RNA (469 nucleotides) under Staphylococcus saprophyticus. Its description in RNAcentral is "bacterial SSU rRNA". It matches the Rfam family "Bacterial small subunit ribosomal RNA", at positions 74 to 528 of the family's 1533-position model. The record is from RNAcentral. Lineage: Bacteria; Bacillati; Bacillota; Bacilli; Caryophanales; Staphylococcaceae.
AGGAGCUUGCUCCUUUGACGUUAGCGGCGGACGGGUGAGUAACACGUGGGUAACCUACCUAUAAGACUGGGAUAACUUCGGGAAACCGGAGCUAAUACCGGAUAACAUUUGGAACCGCAUGGUUCUAAAGUGAAAGAUGGUUUUGCUAUCACUUAUAGAUGGACCCGCGCCGUAUUAGCUAGUUGGUAAGGUAACGGCUUACCAAGGCGACGAUACGUAGCCGACCUGAGAGGGUGAUCGGCCACACUGGAACUGAGACACGGUCCAGACUCCUACGGGAGGCAGCAGUAGGGAAUCUUCCGCAAUGGGCGAAAGCCUGACGGAGCAACGCCGCGUGAGUGAUGAAGGGUUUCGGCUCGUAAAACUCUGUUAUUAGGGAAGAACAAACGUGUAAGUAACUGUGCACGUCUUGACGGUACCUAAUCAGAAAGCCACGGCUAACUACGUGCCAGCAGCCGCGGUAAUACGU